Magnolia sinica is the source of this 2298-nucleotide RNA transcript. It is a transcript of the gene named MDIS1-interacting receptor like kinase 2-like, with no coding region annotated. NCBI's taxonomy places the organism in Eukaryota, Viridiplantae, Streptophyta, Magnoliopsida, Magnoliales, Magnoliaceae. The record is from RefSeq and is a predicted model, not a curated record. The transcript has 2 exons.
UUUAGGAAACUUGUCCAUGCUCACUGUUCUUCAGCUGUUUGAAAAUCAAUUCUCUGGUUCAAUUCCACCAGAAAUAGGGAAUCUGGUUAAUCUCAAGGAGCUUGACAUGUCUAUUAACCUUCUAACAGGUUCUAUCCCUUCCACUUUAGGGAACUUGACCAACCUUACUGUUUUGUACCUUUCUGACUGUCAAUUAUCUGGUUCCUUGCCUCAAGAAAUGACAAACAUGACAAAUCUUUCUAAACUCCAGUUGGAUGGCAACAACUUCUCUGGCCAUUUACCUCAGUUAUGCCACGGUGGAUCUCUUGAAGCCUUCAUUGCUUUCAACAACCAUUUCACCGGUGAGAUCCCAAGAACCUUCAGAAACUGCACUAGCUUAACAAGAGUGCGACUCAAUGGAAACCGACUUGCUACAAAUGUAUCGGAAGCCUUUGGUGUAUACCCUCACCUCAUAUUCAUGGAUGUCAGUGACAACAUGUUGUUUGGUGAACUCUCACCACAUUGGGGAGAAUGCCAAAACUUAACAAAGCUACAACUCUCCGGGAACAAUAUCACUGGUAGAAUUCCUCCUGAGAUUGGGCAGUUGGGGCAGCUAAGAGUGCUUGAUCUUUCUUCAAACCAUUUAGUAGGAGAGAUUCCAAAGGAAUUUGGGAGGCUGACUUUUUUGUUCAACUUGACUUUAAAUGAUAACCAGUUUUCUGGUCAGUUACCACAAGAGAUUGGAAACCUAUCCAAUUUGGAGAUUCUGGAUCUGUCAAUGAAUCGCCUAAGUGGUCCAAUACCACCUCAAUUAGAGAAUUGCUCCAAACUCCGUUUUCUGAAAUUGAGUGAAAAUGUUUUGAAUGGAAGCAUUCCUUUUCAGAUUGGUAACCUAGUAUACUUACAGAGCUUACUAGAUCUAAGUCAUAACUCCCUCAAUGGAAAGAUACCUCCACAACUCGCGAAAUUGGUUAGUCUGGAAAAUUUAAACCUCUCUCACAACAUGUUGUCAGGUUCCAUUCCGACUUCUUUUGAUGGGUUGGUCAGCUUACAAUCCAUUGAUUUUUCAUACAAUGUUUUGGAGGGUCCUCUUCCUAGCAGCAAAGUCUUUCAGAAGGCUCUGGCAGAGGCAUUCAUAAAAAACAAAGGCUUAUGUGGUGAAGUGUAAGGUUUGCAACCUUGCAACACCUCUUCAGUAAGUUACGGUGAUGCAAAGAAAGGCGACAAAGUUGUGAUCCUCAUUGCUCUUCUCUUCUCAGUAUUGUUUCUUUUAUUUGCAAUCUCUGGCAUAAUUUCUUCCAUUUAUUAUCAAAGAAGAAGAAGAAGAAGAAUAGAAAAAGGGGUUCUUGAAAGGAGCAAAGGAAAUACAUUUUCAACAUGGAAUUAUGAUGGAAUUUCCACAUUUGAAGACAUUGUGGAGGUGACAAAGGGUUUUGAUGAUAAAUACUGCAUUGGAACUGGAGGGUAUGGGAAAGUUUACAAAGCAAAUUUACCAGCAGGCCAGGUAGUAGCCGUGAAGAAACUUCAUCCACUUGAAGAUGGAAAUCAAUCUGAUCAAAAAAGUUUUAGGAAUGAGAUACAAGCAUUAAUGGAAAUCCGUCAUCGCAACAUUGUGAAACUUUAUGGCUUCUGUUCACAUACACAAUGCUCAUUUCUAAUUUACGAGUACAUGGAAAGGGGAAGCUUGGCAAGCAUCCUAAGCAACAAUGAAGGAGCUGCACAGUUGGACUGGACUUCAAGGGUGAAUGUUAUUAAAGGUGUGGCUAAUGCUUUAUCUUACAUGCAUCAUGAUUGUACCCUGCCGAUUGUCCAUCGAGACCUAUCAAGCAACAAUGUUCUAUUGAAUUUAGAACUUGAGGCUAGUGUUUCUGACUUUGGAACUGCACGGUUGCUGAUACCUGAUUCCUCAAAUUGGACUGCACUCGUAGGCACUUGCGGAUACAUUGCUCCAGAGCUUGCAUAUACAAUGAGGGUGACUGAAAAAUGCGACGUAUAUAGCUUUGGUGUUGUGGCACUUGAAGUGAUGAUGGGAAGUCAUCCUGGGGAGCUCAUCUCCUCUUUGUCAUCAUCAAGUAGACAAGAUACACUGCUAAAAGAUAUGUUGGACCAACGUCUCUCAGAUCCGAUGGCUGAUGUUGCACAGGAAGUCUUAUUUGUGGUAUCCAUGGCUCUUGCAUGCAUUCGGCCAGAUCCAGACACUCGGCCAACCAUGCGACGUGUGGCUCAGGAGCUUUCUAUUAGAGGGCCUUCUAUCUCUCUACAGCCAUUCCAUGCAGUUACAUUACGUCAACUGAUGGAUCUGAAGGUAUAGUUGGGUGG